CACCCGCCAUGCAUUACACCCGCUGAGGACUCUGGGCAUGUGUAGAACCUCAGUGCACAGGAGGUUCUGUGUUCCUGCCUCAUUGACAGGUGGCCAUGAUGUUACUGCUCAAUCCUGACAAGAAGGUUCCUGGUAUCUAAGACGUAGGACUCGUUUGCAGGGAGAAGACGGCUGUCCUUAGAGGCAACAUUUACUUUUAGCAGCUUUAGGCCUGGCACAGGAAGCAGUCAGAUGAGUUGGACUCUCACAUCUGCCUCCUUCUGCAAAUUCAUCCAGUGCUCCAGGCAUGUGCUCCCAUGGC
Molecule: long non-coding RNA, 301 nt
Filed under: Cricetulus griseus (Chinese hamster)
Lineage: Eukaryota; Metazoa; Chordata; Mammalia; Rodentia; Cricetidae
Description: lncRNA (ENSCGRG00000025355.1)
Source: RNAcentral